AUAGAAAACACCCACAUUAUAAACUACCAGAAAUAGAUUAGUUUAACGAGACUUAACUGUUCCCACCUAAGACUGUCAGAGGGAGCACAGAUUUGAUACCCUUUUGGAUAGACUUAAAACUUGAGUCAUCUUUAUCAACGUAUGUUGAAAAUAUAUGUUGAAAUCCAACAGUAGGAAAAAAUAAAAGUACUGUGCAUUCAUGAAGCAGCAGGAAUUGAUAUCUUUUAAUGAAGUAUUUAUUAUUUUAACUACCAAAUGAUGCAGUGUAAAUAUACAGAGAACUUGGUUUAAGGUUGAAAAUGAAUUGGCCACGUGUAUGUUUAAAAGGUCUUUUACAAAAGGCUGGCAAGACCAUCUGUUCCGUAUGACUUAAGAAUCUUAAACUAUAAUCUAGAAAGGUGAGACACCAAUGUAUUUAUACGUGUUUCUGAAAAAUAAAAAUUAUGUCCAAGUUUUUGUGGUAAUCACUUUGUGAAACCCUAGUGUCGCUAAGUAAUGUUUAG
RNAcentral lists this long non-coding RNA (503 nucleotides) under Bos taurus (domestic cattle). RNAcentral describes it as "long non-coding RNA NONBTAT015289". Lineage: Eukaryota; Metazoa; Chordata; Mammalia; Artiodactyla; Bovidae. The record is from RNAcentral.